AUGCAUUAUAAUCUAACAAUAUUUGUCUGUUGCAGGAUCAAGGAAUUGAUAUCUCUGACAGUGUUGCUUGGGUUCAUAAGGCAGUCAAGUACAAUGAGUAAAUCCCUAGUUCACUAUGGAGAACAAAAGUCAUGUGCUGUAACUACAGCGAAAAGACUUGCGGAAUUCCUUGGAGAUUCCAUGGUUAAAGACAAAGGACUGCACUGCCAAUAUAUAGUUGCCCCAGAGUCAGAAGCCACUCUAGUGACCGCUGUUCCGGUGGCUGUUUUUGAGACAGAUACUGAAAUUGCAAAGUUCAUUUAUGAAAAUGGCGCAAAGUCUCCACGGAAGCAAAUAUCUGAUUUAUUCUUGAUUGGUCUCACUACAAGCAGCGCCUAA
This 378-nucleotide ribosomal RNA is filed under the name Triticum aestivum (bread wheat). RNAcentral's name for it is "partial small subunit ribosomal RNA". The record is from RNAcentral. Lineage: Eukaryota; Viridiplantae; Streptophyta; Magnoliopsida; Poales; Poaceae.